This 390-nucleotide long non-coding RNA is filed under the name Rattus norvegicus (Norway rat). Its description in RNAcentral is "long non-coding RNA NONRATT031192". The record is from RNAcentral. Lineage: Eukaryota; Metazoa; Chordata; Mammalia; Rodentia; Muridae.
UGGCGCCGUGCCGGGCUCUUCUCCUUUGCCGUUAGGCUGCUGCUCGCCCUUUCUAUCAACUCAGCGCGGUUUUGGUAUGAACAGGAUUCGGAUUCACGUCUUGCCAACGAAUCGGGGGAGGAUCACCCCAGUGCCCAGAUCUCAGGAGCCCCUCUCUUGUUCGUUCACUCACCGCCCAUGCUCUCAGCCGCGUCUGGAGGGGCAGGAGUUUUGUCUUAAGCAUAUUCUUGAAGACAAGAAUGCACCCUUCAAACAAUGUAGUUACAUUUCGACGAAGAAUGGGAAGAGGUGCCCCAGUGCUGCCCCAAAGCCUGAGAAGAAAGAUGGGGUGUCUUUCUGUGCUGAACAUGCUCGAAGGAAUGCCCUAGCACUUCAUGCUCAAAUGAAGAA